UACGUAGGGUGCAAGCGUUGUCCGGAAUUAUUGGGCGUAAAGAGCUCGUAGGCGGCGUGUCACGUCGGUUGUGAAAGCCCGGGGCUUAACUCCGGGUCUGCAGUCGAUACGGGCAGGCUAGAGUUCGGUAGGGGAGAUCGGAAUUCCUGGUGUAGCGGUGAAAUGCGCAGAUAUCAGGAGGAACACCGGUGGCGAAGGCGGAUCUCUGGGCCGAUACUGACGCUGAGGAGCGAAAGCUAGGGGAGCGAACGGG
This 253-nucleotide ribosomal RNA is filed under the name uncultured bacterium. RNAcentral describes it as "partial 16S ribosomal RNA". It matches the Rfam family "Bacterial small subunit ribosomal RNA", at positions 524 to 776 of the family's 1533-position model. The record is from RNAcentral.